RNAcentral lists this ribosomal RNA (427 nucleotides) under Bacteroidota bacterium. Its description in RNAcentral is "Bacteroidetes bacterium partial 16S ribosomal RNA". It matches the Rfam family "Bacterial small subunit ribosomal RNA", at positions 355 to 776 of the family's 1533-position model. Lineage: Bacteria; Pseudomonadati; Bacteroidota. The record is from RNAcentral.
UAGGGAAUCUUCCGCAAUGGACGCAAGUCUGACGGAGCAACGCCGCGUGAGUGAAGAAGGAUUUCGGUUCGUAAAACUCUGUUGUUAGAGAAGAACAGCGCAUAGAGUAACUGUUAUGCGUGUGACGGUAUCUAACCAGAAAGCACGGCUAACUACGUGCCAGCAGCCGCGGUAAUACGUAGGUGGCAAGCGUUGUCCGGAUUUAUUGGGCGUAAAGCGAGCGCAGGCGGUCAAUUAAGUCUGAUGUGAAAGCCCCGGCUCAACCGGGGAGGGUCAUUGGAAACUGGUUGACUUGAGUGCAGAAGAGGAGAGUGGAAUUCCAUGUGUAGCGGUGAAAUGCGUAGAUAUAUGGAGGAACACCAGUGGCGAAGGCGACUCUCUGGUCUGUAACUGACGCUGAGGCUCGAAAGCGUGGGUAGCAAACAGG